GUGUGAGAUGGGAUGCGAAGCGAAGCAGGUUGACAGAAGAGAGUGAGCACCCGCCGGAGGUAAAUGGCAUGACAGGGUGCUGUUUCCGUUGCGUGCUCAAAUCUCUUGUUGUCAACCUUUCGCUGUUAUUUCUUCCGUGAUCAUACUUGGAAAUACGCUCCCCUCCCCACCCGAGAAGAGAGAGAGGGAGAAAGAGAGUCAUUGAACCUGUCUCACCACACCCCCCGAGGCUGUCUUUUACUUGUGUGUUUCGGCUGUCGCGUUGCGAUGUUUUUUGCUUUGCUUCGCCGUCUGUCUUAUCGUAUCUGCCAAUCAGCUCGUCGGAUUUGUGUGGGUGAAGAAGCGCGUGCUUAAUUGCCUCUCUGGUUUUCUCUCUCUCUUUUCAUUAAUGCUUAUAUUGCUCUAGAAAUUGGGAAAUUGUAAGAAUAAGCGUGUCUGUUGAAAAGGGAGGUAAGAGAGAGAGAGAGAGAGAGAAAGAGACAGGGAGGGAAGAGGGAGUAGUAUUGUCCGUCUCUGUCCUGUUAGUAAUGAAGCCUCUGAGAGAGAGAGAGAGAGAAUAGAAAGAGUACAGUACUACACAUUGAAGCACGCGGUGCCGCCUCAUCGGAAGGCACUGUUUGACCAAUUCUACUCUCCUUCCCGGUGUUCUCCUAUCUUUUCUGUCGUCCUUCUUGCUUUUGCUUUCCUCUCCUCUACUUUUCUCUUGCCUGUUGCGGAUAGGGUUUUGAGCGUUUCAACAAAACAUGGAUUCAAGCUGUGAGGAUCCGUGGAGUGAAGGUGCUCCCCGAGGUUCAUGCCCACCAUCGUCCAUUCCUGGCCAUCUAACUCUGUUUUCUUUCGUUUGCGCUCGAGACCAUUCCCUCACCACCUUGAUGGGCUGUUGCUUUGCCAACUUGAACAAAGACUCGCUGCUCCGACGAGCGGAAAGGGGUGAGCUUUGUUGCCCUUCCCCAUGCCUGAUCGAUUCAUCUCGACAAGCUUUUGUGGAAAGAAGCCAAUGAAUCAUCGCUGGAAGAAGAAAUAGAGCUAUCAAACAGAGGAAGAGUAAGACAAGCUUCAAUCUUCUAUAUUUCUCUCAAGAAAGCUCUUUACAAUUUCAAAAACUCUAUCUGUUUCAUGACCCAAUAUUUGGGGUUUAUAUAGUCC
Musa acuminata subsp. malaccensis (wild Malaysian banana) is the source of this 1146-nucleotide non-coding RNA. NCBI's taxonomy places the organism in Eukaryota, Viridiplantae, Streptophyta, Magnoliopsida, Zingiberales, Musaceae. The record is from RefSeq and is a predicted model, not a curated record.